CGUGACCUACGGGAGGCAGCAGUGGGGAAUAUUGCACAAUGGAGGGAACUCUGAUGCAGCGACGCCGCGUGAGUGAAGAAGUAAUUCGUUAUGUAAAGCUCUAUCAGCAGGGAAGAAAGUGACGGUACCUGAAAAAGAAGCUCCGGCUAAAUACGUGCCAGCAGCCGCGGUAAUACGUAUGGAGCAAGCGUUAUCCGGAUUUACUGGGUGUAAAGGGAGCGUAGACGGAAUUGCAAGUCUGAUGUGAAAAUCCGGG
RNAcentral lists this ribosomal RNA (256 nucleotides) under uncultured bacterium. Its description in RNAcentral is "partial 16S ribosomal RNA". It matches the Rfam family "Bacterial small subunit ribosomal RNA", at positions 331 to 606 of the family's 1533-position model. The record is from RNAcentral.